RNAcentral lists this ribosomal RNA (467 nucleotides) under uncultured bacterium. RNAcentral describes it as "partial 16S ribosomal RNA". It matches the Rfam family "Bacterial small subunit ribosomal RNA", at positions 28 to 506 of the family's 1533-position model. The record is from RNAcentral.
GACGAACGCUGGCGGCGUGCUUAACACAUGCAAGUCGAACGGAAAGGCCCUGCUUUUGUGGGGUGCUCGAGUGGCGAACGGGUGAGUAACACGUGAGUAACCUGCCCUUGACUUUGGGAUAACUUCAGGAAACUGGGGCUAAUACCGGAUAGGAGCUCCUGCUGCAUGGUGGGGGUUGGAAAGUUUCGGCGGUUGGGGAUGGACUCGCGGCUUAUCAGCUUGUUGGUGGGGUAGUGGCUUACCAAGGCUUUGACGGGUAGCCGGCCUGAGAGGGUGACCGGCCACAUUGGGACGGAGAUACGGCCCAGACGCCUACGGGAGGCAGAAGGGGGGAAUAUGGCACAAGGGGCGGAAGCCUGAUGCAGCAACGCCGCGUGCGGGAUGACGGCCUUCGGGUGGUAAACCGCUUUCGCCUGUGACGAAGCGUGAGUGACGGUAAUGGGGAAAGAAGCACCGGCUAACUACGU